Molecule: ribosomal RNA, 336 nt
Filed under: uncultured bacterium
Lineage: Bacteria
Description: bacterial SSU rRNA
Rfam family: Bacterial small subunit ribosomal RNA
Source: RNAcentral
CCUGUUGAGCAGGAAAGCAGGGGAUCGCAAGACCUUGCGCUGAUUGAGCGGCCGAUGUCAGAUUAGCUAGUUGGUGAGGUAAAGGGCUCACCAAGGCGACGAUCUGUAGCGGGUCUGAGAGGAUGAUCCGCCACACUGGAACUGAGACACGGUCCAGACUCCUACGGGAGGCAGCAGUGGGGAAUUUUGGACAAUGGGGCAACCCUGAUCCAGCCAUGCCGCGUGAGUGAAGAAGGCCUUCGGGUUGUAAAGCUCUUUCGGCCGGGAAGAAAUCGCAUGGGUUAAUACCCUGUGCGGAUGACGGUACCGGCAUAAGAAGCACCGGCUAACUACGUG